Molecule: long non-coding RNA, 699 nt
Organism: Ctenopharyngodon idella (grass carp)
Lineage: Eukaryota; Metazoa; Chordata; Actinopteri; Cypriniformes; Xenocyprididae
Exons: 3
Source: RefSeq, a predicted model, not a curated record
AGAAGCACAAAGCUAGUUUAAGAGUGUACUUCGAGCUGACUGUGGUAAAGACUGGCCCUGACACUCCAGAGCUCGCGGUCCAACACAAACACAGCGCAGGAAACACGACAGGCAGCGGCCGAGGAACGGCUUGUGGACGGCUGGUGAAAUAUAGACACGUUUAAAGAGCUCAGAGAAAGUUUGCUUGAUUUAUGACUACGAAAACAGUUCAGAAGAAAAAACGUCAUGCCGGUUUGGAGCAACAUGCGGGUUAGUAAAUGAUGAUGACACGUAAACGAUUCUAUUCCUUUAAACCUGAAAACGUGCCUAGUGCCACUUCACCUUUGACCUUGACCGAGAACGGUCAAUUUCACACUGUGGUGGCAAAAUCAGGACUGCGGGCAGAAGAGGGGUGACUGACUGCGAUCCGAUGCUCAGAUCCUGUCUGACACUCACUCCCACGCAAACACGCUCCUCCAAUGGCCAGCGUGUUGUGGAGGGGAGCGGAGAAAGGUUCUGACCUCCUGAGAGAACCAGAGAGACGCCUGACGCCAGACCCCAGACCGCGGAUAAUGGGGAACAGAUAAGAUGCGGCUGUGACACUGACCGUGUGUGGGGUAGCUGUAUAGUGCCUGACCGGGUGGCGUCCCGCCGAAGUUCGACGUGUAUCCCAGCAGACUGCUCUGACCUGGCGAAUGACUCAAACCGUCUUCUGUUUUA